Sorex fumeus (smoky shrew) is the source of this 130-nucleotide small nucleolar RNA. The record is from RefSeq and is a predicted model, not a curated record. NCBI's taxonomy places the organism in Eukaryota, Metazoa, Chordata, Mammalia, Eulipotyphla, Soricidae.
AACCAAGGUGUUGAGCAUAGUUCAGGACUGCUUCCCUGUCCUGGUAAUUAAACUUGGGGAUAAUAAGUCAAGGGUUGGGACUAAUGACUGGGUAGGAGUUAUUUCUCUAUUUCCCACCUAGCCGACAAAA